This 291-nucleotide long non-coding RNA is filed under the name Setaria italica (foxtail millet). RNAcentral describes it as "long non-coding RNA (SITA_LNC003264)". The record is from RNAcentral. Lineage: Eukaryota; Viridiplantae; Streptophyta; Magnoliopsida; Poales; Poaceae.
CCGGACAGCGUCACCGGGCCGAGGACGCCGACGUUCCACGUCUCGUAGUGGGUGCCCUGGUUCUGCAGGAGGACGAACAACAAGAGAUUGUUCAUGUUUCAGGAUCACAAGAUGGUCUGAACUCUGAACUGGAAGAAGAGUUCCAAUGGCAAAGAUUUCGUUACUCUGAAUUUCUUGCGAACUUACAGGGAGGCCGACGGCGGCGCUGAGGAUGGAGAUCUUGUUGCUGCCCUGCCACAUCUUGACGUACCCGCUGUACGUCAGCUUGGGACUGUCGUAGCCGCCAUACGC